RNAcentral lists this non-coding RNA (156 nucleotides) under Aquibium carbonis. Its description in RNAcentral is "6S / SsrS RNA". It matches the Rfam family "6S / SsrS RNA". From Rfam's summary of the family: E. coli 6S RNA was the first non coding RNA to be sequenced, but its function was unknown until recently. It consists of 184 nucleotides that fold into an extended hairpin structure with a large single-stranded internal bulge. The record is from Rfam by way of RNAcentral. Lineage: Bacteria; Pseudomonadati; Pseudomonadota; Alphaproteobacteria; Hyphomicrobiales; Phyllobacteriaceae.
GGCGGUCUGCGCUUCGCGGCAGGAAUAACAUUCCCCGGGGCCUUACUGAUCCCAAGGGAGCUGUCCCUGGGGGGACCCGUGGGUCCUCUCAUACGGCGCCCACCUACGUUGUAGGCACCCGGGAUCAACUUUUCCACCGGUUGUCGUGGAUCGUCA